AGAGUUUGAUCCUGGCUCAGAAUCAACGCUGGCGGUUUGCCUAACACAUUCAAGUCGAACGCGGUUAGUAGCAAUACUUACUGAGUGGCGAACGCGUGAGUAACACGUGGGUGACCUACCUUCGAGUGGGGGAUAACGUCCCGAAAGGGACGCUAAUCACGCAUAACAUCCUGCCUUUGAAGAGGUGGAGAUCAAAGCCUAGGAUCGCAAGACCUGGCUCUUGAUGAGGGGCCCGCGUCCGAUUAGCUAGUUGGUGAGGUAACGGCUCACCAAGUCGUCGAUCGGUAUCCGGCUAGAGAGGGCGGUCGGCCACACUGGGAGUGAGACACGGCCCAGACUCCUACGGGAGGCAGCAGUGGGGAAUUGUUCGCAAUGGGCGCAAGCCUGACGACGCAACGCCGCGUGGAGGAUGAAGGUCUUCGGAUUGUAAACACCUGUUGCCCGGGACGAAACGCCUCGUCGGACACGGCGAGGUUGACCUACCGGUAGAAGACCCA
Molecule: ribosomal RNA, 497 nt
Filed under: uncultured soil bacterium
Lineage: Bacteria
Description: bacterial SSU rRNA
Rfam family: Bacterial small subunit ribosomal RNA
Source: RNAcentral